RNAcentral lists this ribosomal RNA (1540 nucleotides) under metagenome. RNAcentral describes it as "SSU rRNA". It matches the Rfam family "Eukaryotic small subunit ribosomal RNA", at positions 6 to 1361 of the family's 1831-position model. The record is from RNAcentral.
GGUUGAUCCUGCCAGUAGCAUAUGCUUGUCUCAAAGAUUAAGCCAUGCAUGUCUAAGUACAAGCCGCUUGACGGCGAAACCGCGAAUGGCUCAAUAAAUCAGUUAUGGUUCCUUAGAUCCACCCAUCCUACUUGGAUAACUGUGGUAAUUCUAGAGCUAAUACAUGCACUCAAGUCCUGACUCGGGCGCAAGCCCAAGAAAGGAUGCUUUAUUAGAUCAAAACCAGUCGGGCUCGCGCUUGGCGCAAGUCUUGUGCAGCCCGUACCGUUUGGUGACUCUGGAUAACUUCCCGCUGAUCGCACGGUCUCGUACCGGCGACGCGUCUUUCAAAUGUCUGCCUUAUCAACUGUCGAUGGUAGGUUACGCGCCUACCAUGGUUGCAACGGGUAACGGGGAAUCGGGGUUCGAUUCCGGAGAGGGAGCCUGAGAAACGGCUACCACAUCCAAGGAAGGCAGCAGGCGCGCAAAUUACCCACUCCCGGCACGGGGAGGUAGUGACGAAAAAUAACGAUACGGGACUCUUCCGAGGCCCCGUGAUUGGAAUGAGUACACUUUAAAUCCUUUAACGAGGACCCAUUGGAGGGCAAGUCUGGUGCCAGCAGCCGCGGUAACUCCAGCUCCAAUAGCGUAUAUUAAAGUUGUUGCGGUUAAAAAGCUCGUAGUCGGAAGUCUGUCUUCGGCCGGGUCGCGGCUCUCUGAAUUAAGGGAGUUCCGUUAUGGCUCUGCUGGCCGGGGUGUCAAAGCCUCGGCUGCUUAGCGGUCGGACAACACCGCCGGAGUGUUGAGGGAUCGCCGUGCGUUUAGUUGCGCGAAAACGGCUCGGGGUCAAACCCGUGCACGAACGCGCUCCGCGCCGGGACGAACUUCAACCGUAAUCGUCCGGGGUGCCCUUCACCGGGUGUCUCGGGCGGCCGGCAAUGUUUACUUUGAACAAAUUAGAGUGCUCAAAGCAGGUGCAUCCCACGCCUGAAUAUUACAGCAUGGAAUGAUAAAAGAGGACCUCGGUCUUAUUUUGCUGGUCUUUAUUCUUUAGACCCGAGGUAAUGGUCAAUAGAGACGGACGGGGGCAUCCGUACUGCGGCGACAGAGGUGAAAUUCUUGGACCGCCGCAAGACGAACAACAGCGAAGGCAUUUGCCAAGAAUGUUUUCCUUGAUCAAGAACGAAAGUUAGAGGUUCGAAGGCGAUCAGAUACCGCCCUAGUUCUAACCAUAAACGAUGCCAACCAGCAAUCCGCCGGUGUUACUCCCAUGACUCGGCGGGCGGCUUCCGGGAAACCAAAGUUUUUGGGUUCCGGGGGAAGUAUGGUUGCAAAGCUGAAACUUAAAGGAAUUGACGGAAGGGCACCACCAGGAGUGGAGCCUGCGGCUUAAUUUGACCCAACACGGGAAACCUCACCAGGCCCGGACACUGGAAGGAUUGACAGAUUGAGGGCUCUUUCUUGAUUCGGUGGGUGGUGGUGCAUGGCCGUUCUUAGUUGGUGGAGCGAUUUGUCUGGUUAAUUCCGAUAACGAACGAGACUCUAGCCUGCUAAAUAGGUG